ACGGGGAUCACCAGGCAAGUAAGUCAAGUUCCCGCUGCUCAAGUCCAGCUGUCUGCCACGGUAGUGCAACCCUUGGCGGACGACCCAGGACGCGUUGACGCGGCAGUCGCGCCAUCUCUUCUUGCCUGCAUUUAUCUGCGCUGUUUGAAGCCGUGUGACCCAUCAGGACCCAGAGGCUGUCUGAUCACAUUAUUGGGCUGUCUGCUGUCUUCGGGUUAGGAGAUCCUGGUUGGCCUGAAGGGAAGAAGAUCAGAGGAAGACCUAUCGAGGAUGGGUUUCUCCUGCUUCUCCUCGGGUUGGCGCUGCCCAGGAUCCGCUUCCUGGCCUCGGUGUACUCGGCUUCCCACUGUGCCAGGGACUUGACUGGAAGGGCGGGCCUGCUAGCGGACUUGGGGCUGCUGACCACACCGUUGCUGGUGGGCCUCUUGAGGAUGCGGACCUGUGGAGGGGGUCCCGGGGGAAAAUUAUCAUCCUGAAUCACAAUGGGCACUUUGGGAGAUUUGAAUUUCCUGCUUUCUGUGUGAUCUUCAGUUUUUUUUCCAGACGUCUAUUUCCCCGCUGUCUGCCGUCUCCUCCCAGCUCUCAGCAACCUCCUCAUAUUCCAUCUUACUCGCCACUUUCCAGAUCGCUUGCUUUCUUAUUUCCACAUUUUCUCUGACUUUUGCAGUAUUCAAUAUUAUUACCUGAUUCUGAUUUUUCAGACAUCACUAUAUGGUCCUUGGCUUUUUGGUCGUUCCUCUCAUUCCUUUGCUGUUUCAAGCUCUGUUCCCAGCCUAAGCUUUUUACCACCGAAUUCUGUUCUGUGACCCAUAACUUAAAACUAACCCAACUUUUCAUUCCCUCCAGACUUUUUUUGGUAAGCAGUAUCAUCAUGCUUUAGGUGGACACUGAGUCAUACUGCUGUGGUAGUGCUGGUACACGUAGUUUUGAAUACCAGGUUCUUGAGUGAAUCCUUUUUACUUCUCUCUCUCUCCCCCACCCCCGCUUCUCCCUUCUGCCUUCAUUUCUGACCCUUCUUUUCUGGUUCCAUUAGAAAAGGACUAAUCUUAUCAGUUCUGCCUUUUUUUUUCUGCUCUAAUAAUUUUGUCAAGAUAAUUUUUUCAAAGCACAAGGCCAAUGAGAAGGGGGAAAGUCGGUCCAGAAGGCAGCCGGCCCGACUAUUCUGAGUUUGAAUCUACUCUUGGUGGUCCUGUUAAAAUACAGUUUGAAGCAAAUCA
Homo sapiens (human) is the source of this 1217-nucleotide long non-coding RNA. NCBI's taxonomy places the organism in Eukaryota, Metazoa, Chordata, Mammalia, Primates, Hominidae. The record is from Ensembl.